Molecule: ribosomal RNA, 235 nt
Filed under: uncultured bacterium
Lineage: Bacteria
Description: partial 16S ribosomal RNA
Rfam family: Bacterial small subunit ribosomal RNA
Source: RNAcentral
GAUCAUGGCUCAGGAUGAACGCUAGCGGCAGGCUUAACACAUGCAAGUCGAGGGGCAGCAUAAUGGUAUAAGCAAUAUCUAUGGUGGCGACCGGCGCACGGGUGCGUAACGCGUAUGGCAACCUACCUUUAACAGGGGGAUAACACUGAGAAAUUGGUACUAAUACCCCAUAAUAUCAUAGAAGGCAUCUUUUAUGGUUGAAAAUUCCGAUGGUUAGAGAUGGGCAUGCGUUGUA